This 94-nucleotide small nuclear RNA is filed under the name Erinaceus europaeus (western European hedgehog). Its description in RNAcentral is "U1 spliceosomal RNA (ENSEEUG00000023388.1)". It matches the Rfam family "U1 spliceosomal RNA", at positions 1 to 100 of the family's 166-position model. Rfam says of the family: U1 is a small nuclear RNA (snRNA) component of the spliceosome (involved in pre-mRNA splicing). Its 5' end forms complementary base pairs with the 5' splice junction, thus defining the 5' donor site of an intron. The record is from RNAcentral. Lineage: Eukaryota; Metazoa; Chordata; Mammalia; Eulipotyphla; Erinaceidae.
AUACUUACCUGGCAGAGGAAAAACCAUCAUCAGGCAGGUGGUUUUCCCAGGGUGAGACUUGUCAUGUCUCUGUGCGCCUGACCCUGCAAUUUCC